RNAcentral lists this ribosomal RNA (497 nucleotides) under uncultured bacterium. RNAcentral describes it as "partial 16S ribosomal RNA". It matches the Rfam family "Bacterial small subunit ribosomal RNA", at positions 28 to 507 of the family's 1533-position model. The record is from RNAcentral.
GAUGAACGCUGGCGGCGUGCCUAAUACAUGCAAGUCGAGCGAACAGACGAGGAGCUUGCUCCUCUGACGUUAGCGGCGGACGGGUGAGUAACACGUGGAUAACCUACCUAUAAGACUGGAAUAACUUCGGGAAACCGUAGCUAAUACCGGAUAAUAUAUUGAACCGCAUGGUUCAAAAGUGAAAGACGGUUUUGCUGUCACUUAUAGAUGGAUCCGCGCUGCAUUAGCUAGUUGGUAAGGUAACGGCUUACCAAGGCAACGAUGCGUAGCCGACCUGAGAGGGUGAUCGGCCACACUGGAACUGAGACACGGUCCAGACUCCUACGGGAGGCAGCAGUAGGGAAUCUUCCGCAAUGGGCGAAAGCCUGACGGAGCAACGCCGCGUGAGUGAUGAAGGUCUUCGGAUCGUAAAACUCUGUUAUUAGGGAAGAACAAAUGUGUAAGUAACUAUGCACGUCUUGACGGUACCUAAUCAGAAAGCCACGGCUAACUACGUG